UGCGUAGGCGGGCUAAUAAGUCAGUGGUGAAAUCUCUCGGCUCAACCGGGAAACUGCCAUUGAUACUGUUAGUCUUGAGUUCGGUUGAGGUAGGCGGAAUGUGUAAUGUAGCGGUGAAAUGCUUAGAUAUUACACAGAACACCAAUUGCGUAGGCAGCUUACUAGACCGACACUGACGCUGAGGCACGAAAGCGUGGGGAGCGAACAGGAUUAGAUACCUUGGUAGUC
RNAcentral lists this ribosomal RNA (228 nucleotides) under uncultured bacterium. RNAcentral describes it as "partial 16S ribosomal RNA". It matches the Rfam family "Bacterial small subunit ribosomal RNA", at positions 568 to 795 of the family's 1533-position model. The record is from RNAcentral.